Transfer RNA from Baudoinia panamericana, 103 nucleotides. It matches the Rfam family "tRNA". Rfam says of the family: Transfer RNA (tRNA) molecules are approximately 80 nucleotides in length. Their secondary structure includes four short double-helical elements and three loops (D, anti-codon, and T loops). The record is from Rfam. NCBI's taxonomy places the organism in Eukaryota, Fungi, Ascomycota, Dothideomycetes, Mycosphaerellales, Teratosphaeriaceae.
GGCACUUUGGCGGAGUGGUUAACGCGCUGCCCUGCUACUACGGAAGCAGUCAUAUCGUCAGGCAGUUCCUUCGGGAGCGUGUGUUCGAAUCACACAGGUGUCG